UAGUAGCCUAGUGUGUAAGCAGGCACGCACUCAUACCCGUUUGGGUAGCCACUGAGACUAGCUACAAAGGAAGGUAACCUACAACAUUGCACUGAACCAUUCAAGGCGCGUGGAGGGACAAACUGGUUAUAAUUACAUUGCAGUCUGUUUAAAGAAUAGGAUAUGUCCUGUAGUUUACCAGUAAUUCUUCGGUUUAAUUUGUUGCCCAACUUAGAGGCUACACUUUCACAGAAAAUAUUUGGCCGGUUCACGUUCACGUUUGGUCAGACAAUUGCAGUGACGAAUAGAGGGGAGCAAAGAACACCUCAGCAAGCUCACCUGACCGCGGAACAAACAAAAGAGCCAUUUAUUUGAAAGAGGAUUGGCAGAUCUGAAUGGGAUGUUAGUGUGGUGGGGUGGAGGACCGACUGAAGGAGCAUGGUGAAGCACCAACCCCUGCAAGUCUACGAGAGGCAGCUCUGUUUGUCAUGUCUGACCGGGAUCUAUGGAUGCCGCUGGAAACGCUAUCAGCGGUCACAUGAUGACACCACCAAGUGGGAGUUCCUGUGGUCCCUCAUCUUGUUUGCCACCUUCUCGUUACUACUGGUCUGGUUCUACUUCUGGUGGGAGGCACACAAUGACUACAAUGAGUUUAACUGGUUUUUAUAUAACCGCUCAGGAGAGUGGAGCGAUGGGACGGUUCCAAUCCUGGCCACCACUGCCGCUGGCUUCACAUACAUAGCCUUUCUACUGAUCUUAGCUCUGUGCCAUGUAGCUGUGGGACAGCAGCUGAACCUGCACUGGCUGCACAAGAUUGGUGUGACAGCCGCCCUGCUGACCACGGUCAUUGGCAUGAUCUCUGUGAACCAGAUGUGGGGGGAGGAGUGGGACAUCGUCAUGAUUUCACUACAGGCCACAGGUCCCUUCCUGCAUAUCGGCGCCCUGGCAGCAGUGACGGCUUUGUCCUGGCUGGUGGCAGGACAGGUGGCACGUGCCGAGAAAACACGAUUCCAAGUGCUGGUGAUGGUCCUGUACCUGAGUGUGCUGUUGGCUCUCUACUUGGCCCCUCUCUCCAUCACCUCCCCCUGCAUCAUGGACCAGAGCAGCCUCAAACCACCGCCCAAUAUCAUUGGCCAUCAGGGUGCCCCCAUGCUGGCUCCAGAAAACACAGCUUUGUCCUUCCAGAGGGCUCUGCGUCUCAACGUCAGCGGCCUGGAGGCAGACGUCACUAUAAGUGUGGAUGGUGUGCCCUUUCUGAUGCGUGACCGCACCCUGAAGAGGACUACAGACGUAGAGCAAGUGUUUCCUGACAGGCAGUUUGACGACGCAUCCCUCUUCAACUGGACAGACCUCUCCUCUCUCAACGCGGGCCGGUGGUUCAUCAAGGAUGACCCCUUCUGGAUGGUGCAGUCGCUGUCUCCGCGAGAUCUGCAGCAGGUGGAGAGCCAGCGGGUGUGCAGCCUGCAGCACAUGCUCCACCUGGCCGCCUCCUCCAACCGCACGGCCCUCCUUCGCCUGCGCCGGCCCCCGCUCGAGCACCCCCGCCACCAGAGCUGGCUCAACGACACCCUGGAGAGCGUGCGCCUGUCUGGCAUCCCUCAGCACAUGGUGCUGUGGACGGAGGAGUGGGAGCGGCGCUUAGUGGAGGCGGCAGCUCCAGGCUUCCAGCAGACAUCUCUGGAGAAGCUCCCAGUGGAGGAGCUGCAGCGGAGGGGCAUCAGCCACCUGCUCCUGCGCUACAACCAGGCCAACGAGCGCGACAUCCGGGAGUUCUCCAGCCAUAACAUCAGCCUGACGCUGUACACGGUGAAUGAGCCGUGGCUGUACUCCCUGCUGUGGUGCAGUGGUGUGCCCUCCAUCUCCUCUGAGGCCCCCCAGGCCCUGCUCAAGAUGCGUGCCCCCAUCUGGCUCAUGAGUCCAGAUGAGUACUGCCUGAUUUGGAUUGCCACGGAUCUCAUCUCCUUUGCCAUUGUGCUUGGAGUCUUCGUGUUCCAAAACUUUCACCUGAUCAGGUGGCGGAUGAGUGGCAUGCGCAGCUACAACCCGGAGCAGAUCAUGCUAAGUGCAGCCGUUAGAAGAUCCAGCCGUGACGUCAACAUCAUGAAGGAAAAACUCAUCUUCUCUGGUCAGCCGCAGUUGUGAGAGUCGUGCUGAGCUCUUCGUUCCAUUUGUGCGGUUGAAUCUUUCCUUCCAACUGACCUUCAUCCAUCCAUCCAUGCACCCACCCCUGUGUGCACCCCUCCAUCUCUCCAUCCGUCAGCCCAUCCUCUGUUCCAUCCCUUCCUCGUGUGUGCUUGGUUUCCUCGUUUCCUGCAUCCCCUCCCCAUACCAUCUCUGGCCAGCCUUCUCUGAGUGUGUAGCUGUGGGGUGCUGAAAGAGGUGAGCAAUGGAAUUGGUGGUGCAGACGAACUGUACAUGGAGAACGGCUUUGACUGCUACACCAACCAGGGCAUCGCCCACUGAUGGCCAGGUGUGCAGCACUGAAGCCACUCUACUGAACAACUCCCUACUGGCAGAAAGCCAGAGGCCCCAUUUCUGUCCAGUUCCUCUUGUGCUGCUGACCAAAAAAGGGACUUCUAUGAAAGAACGAAAUAUGGGUAUCACCCAAUGCUCUGUAUAUUUUGUAAAAAUGAAGAAUGUUUUUUGUCAUUAUUAUUAUUAUUAUUAUUAUUAUUAUUAUUAUUAUUAUUAUUAUUAUUAUUAUAUUUUGUUGCUUUUGUUGAAGUCAUGACAAUGCGAUGUGUGAGAUUUGCCUUUUAAAUUGUUAUAUUUGACCUAGUCUCUCUUGUCUCCAAAUUCGAGGGGGCCAGACAGACUAGGCUUUCCAGCAGUGGAUUUAACCUCUAAUAUGCACACACUGGAAGACCAUAGGGGUCCAUCUUUUACUUUGUCCUUUUAUCUUAUCUAACUGAAGUAAUGAAAUGAUUACUGUAUAGUGUUUUGUGUCAACACACAUAUGCAGCGUUAGCAUGGUAUUCUCAGUUCUCCACCUUUGUUUGGGACUCAAACUGUUGGACUGUAUGAGCGGAAAUGGGUGUAGGCUGUGGUGCAGCAUCCCCCACCCCAGAGGGAAGAAGUGAACAUUUUAGUAUUUGAACAGACACUCUCCCCCUCCUCUGUGCAUGUGAUACACAUAUCAUUUGGAGUAAGGUGCUGAGUUUUUUUUUUUUGUUUUUUUUUUUUUUUCUUUUUUUCAAAUGGACUUUUUUUGAAUGUGUGUUUUUGUUUUUAAAUGAACUGUUGUGAUUAUGGUGGCUAGAGAGUUGAAACUGACUGUGUGAGGUUUUGUUUCUGGCUCGUGUCAAGUCGGAUUCUCUUGUAUCAAAUCUGAGUAUUACUACAGCAUGAUGUGGAAAUGCACGUCUUCUCCAGCUCUUCACUGAUGCUCUGGGACGAUGACCUUGGUUUGUCUGAAGUGUUGAACACCAGGCCAGGCACUGCAACUUGAAGCUCUGAUUUGUGAAACUACCAGUGCAGGUGUACCAAUAGAACCAGUGCACACAAUAAAGCUGAGAAAUUGCUAACAAA
Alosa sapidissima (American shad) is the source of this 3507-nucleotide RNA transcript. It is a transcript of the gene named glycerophosphodiester phosphodiesterase domain containing 5b, with no coding region annotated. NCBI's taxonomy places the organism in Eukaryota, Metazoa, Chordata, Actinopteri, Clupeiformes, Clupeidae. The record is from RefSeq and is a predicted model, not a curated record. The transcript has 18 exons.